AGGGUUUGAUCCUGGCUCAGAACGAACGCUGGCGGCGUGCCUCAUACAUGCAAGUCGAGCGAGAAAGUUCCCUUCGGGGAAUGAGUAAAGCGGCAAACGGGUGAGUAACACGUGGGAAACUUGCCCUUCGGUGGGGGAUAAGCUCUCGAAAGGGGGUCUAAUACCGCAUAACAUCGGAAGAUCGCAUGGUCUACCGAUCAAAGCAGCAAUGCACCGGAGGAUAGUCCCGCGCCUGAUUAGCUUGUUGGUAGGGUAAAAGCCUACCAAGGCGACGAUCAGUAGCCGGCCUGAGAGGGUGAUCGGCCACACUGGGACUGAGAUACGGCCCAGACUCCUACGGGAGGCAGCAGUAGGGAAUAUUGCGCAAUGGCCUAACGGCUGACGCAGCAACGCCGCGUGGAUGAUGAAGCUUUUCGGAGUGUAAAAUCCUUUCAGCAGGGAAGAAUAUCUUGACGGUACCUGCAGAAGAAGUCCCGGCCAACUCCGUGCCAGCAGCCGCGGUAACACGGGGGGGACAAGCGUUGUUCGGAUUCACUGGGCGUAAAGCGCUCGUAGGUGGGCUGGAUAGUCGGAUGUGAAAACCUGAGGCUUAACUUCAGGCCUGCAUCCGAAACUGCCAGUCUUGAGUACUGGAGAGGGUGGCGGAAUUCCUGGUGUAGCGGUGAAAUGCGUAGAUAUCAGGAGGAACACCGAUGGCGAAGGCAGCCACCUGGACAGAUACUGACACUGAGGGGCGAAGGCUAGGGUAGCAAACAGGAUUAGAUACCCUGGUAGUCCUAGCGGUAAACGAUGGGCACUAGGUGUUGGCGGUAUCGACCCCGCCAGUGCCGCAGCAAACGCAUUAAGUGCCCCGCCUGGGGAGUACGGUCGCAAGAUUGAAACUCAAAGGAAUUGACGGGGGCCCGCACAAGCGGUGGAGUAUGUGGUUCAAUUCGACGCAACGCGCAGAACCUUACCUGGGCUUGACAUAUACCGGAAAGCCACAGAGAUGUGGUUCCUCCUUCGGGAGUCGGUAUACAGGUGCUGCAUGGCUGUCGUCAGCUCGUGUCGUGAGAUGUUGGGUUAAGUCCCGCAACGAGCGCAACCCUCGUUCUUAGUUGCCAUCAGGUUAUGCUGGGGACUCUAAGAAGACUGCCGGUGACAAGCCGGAGGAAGGUGGGGAUGACGUCAAGUCCUCAUGGCCCUUACGCCCAGGGCUACACACGUACUACAAUGGCCGGUAUAGACGGCAGCAAUACCGCAAGGUGGAGCUAAUCCCUAAAACCGGCCUCAGUUCAGAUUGGAGUCUGCAACUCGACUCCAUGAAGGUGGAAUCGCUAGUAAUCGCAGAUCAGCAUGCUGCGGUGAAUACGUUCCCGGGCCUUGUACACACCGCCCGUCAAGCCAUGGGAGUGGGGGGUACCCGAAGUCGCCGACCUAACUUCGGAUGGCGGCGCCUAAGGUAAAACCCACGACUGGGGCUAAGUCGUAACAAGGUAGCC
RNAcentral lists this ribosomal RNA (1481 nucleotides) under uncultured organism. RNAcentral describes it as "bacterial SSU rRNA". It matches the Rfam family "Bacterial small subunit ribosomal RNA". The record is from RNAcentral.